UCGACGGAGAGUUUGAUCCUGGCUCAGGACGAACGCUGGCGGCGGGCCUAACACAUGCAAGUCGAACGAGAUGCCUUCGGGCAUCUAGUGGCGAACGGGUGAGUAACACGUGAGGAACCUGCCCCGAAGACGGGGACAACCACGGGAAACUGUGGCUAAUACCCGAUAUCCCCGUUGCGGCGCAUGCCGCGACGAGGAAAUGCUCCGGUGCUUCGGGAGGGUCUCGCGGCCUAUCAGCUAGUUGGUGAGGUAACGGCUCACCAAGGCUUCGACGGGUAGCUGGUCUGAGAGGACGAUCAGCCACACUGGGACUGAGACACGGCCCAGACUCCUGCGGGAGGCAGCA
RNAcentral lists this ribosomal RNA (346 nucleotides) under Acidimicrobiia bacterium. RNAcentral describes it as "bacterial SSU rRNA". It matches the Rfam family "Bacterial small subunit ribosomal RNA", at positions 1 to 353 of the family's 1533-position model. Lineage: Bacteria; Bacillati; Actinomycetota; Acidimicrobiia. The record is from RNAcentral.